This 113-nucleotide vault RNA is filed under the name Podarcis muralis (Common wall lizard). RNAcentral describes it as "Vault RNA (ENSPMRG00000010546.1)". It matches the Rfam family "Vault RNA". Rfam says of the family: This family of RNAs are found as part of the enigmatic vault ribonucleoprotein complex. The complex consists of a major vault protein (MVP), two minor vault proteins (VPARP and TEP1), and several small untranslated RNA molecules. It has been suggested that the vault complex is involved in drug resistance. Lineage: Eukaryota; Metazoa; Chordata; Lepidosauria; Squamata; Lacertidae. The record is from Rfam by way of RNAcentral.
GAGCCAUCUCAGCCCAGCAGUUCCAUCGACCAAAGCAUUGCUUAGAUCCCCUAAUUAUUAUAUUAUAAUCGCUUCCAGCGGUUUGAGACCCGCGGGCGCUGCCUGGCUAUAUU